RNAcentral lists this ribosomal RNA (468 nucleotides) under uncultured bacterium. RNAcentral describes it as "partial 16S ribosomal RNA". It matches the Rfam family "Bacterial small subunit ribosomal RNA", at positions 28 to 507 of the family's 1533-position model. The record is from RNAcentral.
GACGAACGCUGGCGGCGUGCUUAACACGUGCAAGUCGAACGGAAAGGCCCUGCUUUUGUGGGGUGCUCGAGUGGCAAACGGGUGAGUAACACGUGAGUAACCUGCCCUUGACUUUGGGAUAACUUCAGGAAACUGGGGCUAAUACCGGAUAGGAGCUCCUGCUGCAUGGUGGGGGUUGGAAAGUUUCGGCGGUUGGGGAUGGACUCGCGGCUUAUCAGCUUGUUGGUGGGGUAGUGGCUUACCAAGGCUUUGACGGGUAGCCGGCCUGAGAGGGUGACCGGCCACAUUGGGACUGAGAUACGGCCCAGACUCCUACGGGAGGCAGCAGUGGGGAAUAUUGCACAAUGGGCGGAAGCCUGAUGCAGCAACGCCGCGUGCGGGAUGACGGCCUUCGGGUUGUAAACCGCUUUCGCCUGUGACGAAGCGUGAGUGACGGUAAUGGGUAAAGAAGCACCGGCUAACUACGUG